RNAcentral lists this ribosomal RNA (255 nucleotides) under uncultured bacterium. RNAcentral's name for it is "partial 16S ribosomal RNA". It matches the Rfam family "Bacterial small subunit ribosomal RNA", at positions 524 to 776 of the family's 1533-position model. The record is from RNAcentral.
UACGGAGGGGACUAGCGUUGUUCGGAAUUACUGGGCGUAAAGCGCACGUAGGCGGAUUUGUAAGUCAGGGGUGAAAUCCCGGGGCUCAACCUCGGAACUGCCUUUGAUACUGCAAAUCUCGAGUCCGGAAGAGGCGAGUGGAAUUCCGUGGAUGUAGCGGUGAAAUGCGCAGAUAUCAGGAGGAACACCGAUGGCGAAGGCAGCUCGCUGGGACGGUACUGACGCUGAGACGCGAAAGCGUGGGGAGCGAACAGG